CAGGCACUGCUGGCACGAGCAGGGCUGGCCCGAGCUGGCGCCCACGGGCCACGACUGCGACUUGGGGAUGGAGCCGACGCAAACAUGCUGCCUGUCUGCUCUGUGGAGGGCUUUGUGCUGAGCGGUCAUUCAAAAUGAACAUAACCACGUGACAACCCCAGCCAGGGCGUUCAGCUCCACGGCCCGGUGCCAGACUCCCUCCCAUCGCCCAUCACCCGCCUGCCACUCCUAUUCAGGCAGGUGGAGGUGGCAGCCUGGAGCAGCUCCAGAGGGACGAUGGGAGGAGCCCAGAGAGGGACAGGUGCUUGGCCAGGGUGACAGAGCAAGGAUGCAGCUACAC
This is a long non-coding RNA of Balaenoptera acutorostrata (minke whale), 340 nucleotides long. RefSeq lists it as uncharacterized. The record is from RefSeq and is a predicted model, not a curated record. Lineage: Eukaryota; Metazoa; Chordata; Mammalia; Artiodactyla; Balaenopteridae. The transcript has 3 exons.